Long non-coding RNA from Anguilla rostrata (American eel), 1454 nucleotides. RefSeq lists it as uncharacterized. Lineage: Eukaryota; Metazoa; Chordata; Actinopteri; Anguilliformes; Anguillidae. The record is from RefSeq and is a predicted model, not a curated record. The transcript has 3 exons.
UACUUCGAAGCAUGACGUUCAUUUCGCUUAAAAUAAGCGAGGUAGCCUACGUGUCCGGAAAACACAGAAAUAGUUUAUUCAGACAUUAUUAUUAUUAUUAUUAUAUUAUUCCAGCGAAGUGAAAACAUGUCCAUAUAGCAUCGGCAUCUUUUUUUUUUUUUUUUUUAACAUUUUGCUAUCAAUAGCCAAUACCUACUAAAUCACAACAGUGAGCGAUAGUGGGGAGAUAAACGUCGCUUUUGUUUGUAAUAAUUUUGUCAGCCGGAUGCUGCUUUGUCAGAUGUGUACAGUCAGGAGGCAAGGGUCCAUUACCGAUCGCUGCUAUCGCAUAUUGCAAGCGCUGCCUGACGUGUUAUGGCUGACAGCCAUGUCACUGCGAAGGCAGAGAUAUCCAGGGAAGCCGUGUGUCACAGAGGAACUACAUAGCCUCGGAGUGAAAGAGAGGGAAGGAUAUUGCUGCCUGCUGUAGCUGAGUGCUGAAUCCCCUGUUGCAUUAGUAGAACUAUCCCUUCAUCGCAAUGCCCUCCUUCAAUUUGGGGAGAGGAUGUACAAGCGCUCUUCCGCCGCACGUGCAACCCGCUGCGCAGCACAAUCACAGCACGGGAGAAAUGCGCUUCCUGCGCAGUUCAUGCAGGCAGAUGCUGGCAGGCUGUGGGCGCCCAAUUGGCCAGAAGCGCUGCUCAUUAUCAGUAACCUUUAUCGAUAGUGUGUGUGUGUGUGUGUGUGUGUGUGUGUGUGGAGGUAUUGUGGUCCGGCAAUUUGCGGGAGUCAACAAUCAAUUCACAGACAUAUGUCUCCCAGUCAGGAGACAAUGGUCAAUAGUGUCAUCGUCAGUUCAGUUAAUAUUUCUUAAGUAACGGCUGAUUUCCCAUUUUUUCCUGUUUCAGUAAAAUAGUUUCCAUAUGGCUGUUAAAAAGUAUUGAACAAUACUGAUCCCAGUUCUUGUUUCUCUGUGGAACAGACAAUGGAAUUUCCAAUAAUGACAGUUAAUAGCAUGCUUGCAUAUUUAAUCAGAGAUAACCACACAACAUAUUGGGACUCCUUCAGUAAUUACUACACAAUGAUAUUCUUCUGUCUUUUUUGUUAUACAAUGUUCAUAGUACUAUAUGCAUAUUGAAUGCAUAUAUUAAACACUCUUUUUUGAAAUGGUAAGUAGUUUUGUAUUGUGUGCUCUUUGUUUUGCAUUGUAACUGACUGAGCUCCAUUUAUAAUCUGCAAUGUGUAUUUCUUAAUUUUCCAUUUUCUGUGUCUGAGAGAAUCCAUUUUAUUUCUAUUAUCAAGAAAAACAAGUAUGGACUUUCUUAGGCUUCCAAUAUUUUCCAAUUCCAUAGCUAAUGAAUAAUGAUUUUUUCUUCUCUCCAACGUUGCCGUCAUAUCCCCGUCCUUCUACAGUCUGCAUUUUUUGUUUGUCCUUUACUUUGUCUUUCAAAUAAAAGCAAGUAUUGCAUUUUUAA